ACAAUUCUGAAGGAAGGAUAUGAUUCAAUAAAAUGUAAGAAUAUCCAAUAUAGGGGUUCAUAUGCAUAGAGUGGGUCAUACGAUCAUGAUGCACGAUAUAGCAAAAGAUAUCUUGCAUCAACACAUCUUGCCCGCUUCUUGUUCACAGUUUUGCCUCAGCCAUGGCCUUCUUGAUGUUGUCUUCUCCUGAUAGCAGCAAGGCAUUAGCAAUUAGAAGCCAGCGAGUGAGCACGACUAGAAAAGCAAUACAUAUGAUUCCAAUUCCUUUUCAGGUAGGAUGUGGUGCAAUAUUUACAUAGACCAUAUCCAGAUCAUAGUAGUGCAUAGUUCCUUAUAAGUUGUACAAAACAAACAUCGGCACACUACAAAAGAUAGGAAUGCGCAAUGAGACCUUUAGCUAGCUUUGAUAGCUUGGUUUUUAAGUUACUUUGAGGCAAAAGAGAUCUGGUUCUUCACCUCAAAAAUGAUUUGCAUGUAGGAAUAUCAGAAUAUGAUUCUGAAACCAUGGCACAUGGCUGGUUAGUAUGGUUUGUCAUCACAUUCAGUUGCUUUCAGAAUGGAAAAGGACAACUAAUAAUUGGAAAGAACCAUAUAUUCUGACUAUGCCAUAUCAGUGCUUAAUUGGUCGGGCCAUAUAUAAACCUUUUACCAUGGGGUGUUUCUUUAUUCUGCUUCAAAAAUAGACAGGAAUGACAUAAAUAUGUGCAUAGCACUGUUAACUAAGAAAGAGAAUAUUAAAUUUGGGAGUACACAGGCAAGCCAAGUCAGGUACGAAAAUAGCAGAUAGCAAAGCAAUGUGAGAAUAGCAGUCGAGUAUAGUGGCGUACCAUCCAUUCUCAAAGAGUUGAUUGGUUUAUGACGAUGGUUCCAGGAGAAAGCUGCAAUAGAAAAAUAAUAAUAUAUUCUUACAAAGAAGGCCCAAAGAUUUAAGCAGGAUAUGGUAAUAAAUAUACAUGAUAUGUGAACUUUAAAACUAUUACAGAGAGGUAAAUGCAGAUUUCUAAGGAACAUAUUGUACUAAUUGUUCAGGCAAAGCAAAUAAAUUAAUUAAAUUGGGUCCAUGAUGUAUAGGUGGGUCAAUGCUUCAAGGAUUAUGGCUUGUGGUAGGGCUACCUUCAUAAAAAUGAGACAGAAUGAACAUCAUCAGUGGCAGCCAUAUGUGGAGUUGAGACAGAAAUAAAUCAUUGAGAAUAAUUUAUAGUUUCUUUAAAUGGAACUUGUCCAAAUCGCAAUUGUGAUGCAACUACAAUGAGAAGUCGUCGCCGACCAUAUGACAAUGCUAAGAUUCUGUCAAGCUUGCAAUACCAAGCCCAUAAUUCUAUAGAAGUUCAUUUGCAGAAGAUAAAUAUAUCUGCAUAGCUACUGCUGGAGAGCAUCAACGGUGGCAUCUUAUUUGCCAACUAUAUUAUUCCUAUUUAUACACAACAUAUUUUGACUACUGCACAAGUUUUCGUACAAGAGUUCUGGAUUAAAUAAAAUAUGGAUCUUACCCAUUAUAUCGUAUAACAUUUCCAUACAGAGCGAAGGCAGCAAACAUGAAUCCAACAUACCAACUGCAACUCCACGAGGCCUAUCACUGACAAACAAAAUAGCACCUGCAUCAAGAAGACGACACAGUCACACAUCUCACCGGGUGAAAAGAUUUUUUAUACUCGAGAGACCAAACUGAUGGCAGCAUCCAAUAUUAAAGACCACAUAUUCAAGAAGGAAACUCAACUUCUAGAAGCAAAGUUUUUUUCUUCAAUCACAUAUAAAAAACAGAGUUUCCAACUGUGUAUAACUACUUUUUAUGCAUGAACAAAUUUAGAGAUUGCCAAUAUCCUAUGCCUGCUGGAUAUUAGAAAUGCAGGAAGCAAUCAUACUUCUUUUGGAACCAUGUCGACAAAAGAACUGGGAGACGAAAUAUGAUACUCAAAGCUCACAGAUUAGGCUAUCUAAUGAGAUUCUCCCAGUGAAAACUGCAUAACUUUAAAGUAAAUGCCAAGUAUCACUAAAUGUGUGCUUGAAAACUGACAAGGCUCACAUAUUUAGUUUAGAUUCACCUAAACUAAAUGUGUGCUUGAAAACUGCAUAACUUUCAAGGAAAUAGCAAAUAUCACUAAUAAUAUCAAAUCAAAAAAGGAUGGACAAAAUAUAAGAAGAUUCAUGUACCAAUCAGAACUGGGAUUCUCCGAGUCGUCAAACAUUCAGUCAUAAAAUAUAUCCUUUAUAUCAUGUUUUCAAUAUCACAACAGGUUAACAAUCACACUAUCAAUGUAAGGUACUACAUGCCUUUCUUGUGUUUACAUAGACAGUCAUCGUUUCUCUAGUUUCUAAAAACACAGACUAACUAAAGGGAUCGUAAACCUAGAUGAUGGCACUUCAACAUCGAAAAUGACAAAUCAUUCCAUUUGUCACAGAGCAGUGAAUAAGAUUGAUUCUUACCUAGUAAUAAUUUCUGAAAACAAUUUAACAGGAAGAAGGCACAAACCAACAAAUGGAUCACCUUGCUGUUUCUAAAUAUAAGAUCCCCGCUCUUAACAUUCCCACCAUGAUAUGAUCUUAAUGAAUUCCAUCAGGAUGAGACCAAAGCAGACUCGCCUCCAAACAUAACAACAUAAGUUUUGAUUAAAAGGACAACCAAACAACUGGUCUGCAAACGGAGAAAUAUGCAACAAAAAUUGAAACUUCAGAGUUCAGAGGAUCAUCUAUACUGAGAAGAGUACAGUAAAAUAGAAACGGAAGCGGUUCCAAAACCAGCACUCAAACCUUACAAAGUUUUGUAUAUGUGAAAAGAUGAUUUAUUUUUCAAUACAAGCAUGUCCUGCAAUUA
RNAcentral lists this long non-coding RNA (2812 nucleotides) under Triticum aestivum (bread wheat). Its description in RNAcentral is "long non-coding RNA (TAES_LNC023400)". Lineage: Eukaryota; Viridiplantae; Streptophyta; Magnoliopsida; Poales; Poaceae. The record is from RNAcentral.